Perca flavescens (yellow perch) is the source of this 764-nucleotide long non-coding RNA. RefSeq lists it as uncharacterized. The record is from RefSeq and is a predicted model, not a curated record. The transcript is spliced from 3 exons. NCBI's taxonomy places the organism in Eukaryota, Metazoa, Chordata, Actinopteri, Perciformes, Percidae.
CACUGUGUACCUCAUUACACAUGAGGACCAGGAGGUACUUCUGCCAGUAAAUAAUAGGCUAUUGGAUGUCUUCGGGAAUAUAGGUCCCUAUGAAGUCCAUGGAGAGGAGGCAGGGAAUACCUCAUCCUCUCAUUCAGACCCAGGACAGUCACAGGCAACAAGGCAAUUUGCUUUUGCAAGUCAGCCCAGCGCCUCAACCAGCUGCCCGCAGGUGCCACCACCUCCAGGCCCAGCUCAGAGGAGCUAUUCGAGUCGUGUCCAGGAUGACAUGGAAGUGCUAAAUCGAGUGGAAGAGCUUGUCCUGGCAGCUUAAGACCUUCCAAAUAUUGCCCAGAUAAUGAGGAAGAUGGCUGGGCUAGCUGAGACAGGCCAGCUGUGACAUUGACAGAAGCCCAGGCCACCUCUGUGAAGGCCACCUUCCAGUGUCUUGUUUGCAGAGGAACUAUUACUGGCCUUAUAAUUGCACCCUGCUGCAGGAGCCUGGUGGGAUACAAUGGAUGUGUGCGGGAGUGGGUCCUCAACUCCCCCAACUGCCCGAAGUGUCAGUGAUGAAUGUUUUGGGGAAGAUUAUUUCAUGUUGAGUGGGAUGGACGAAGUAAUGGAUGCCCUGAGGAAUGCGGUGUCCACAUAGGUUUUUGAUUUUUAGUUUAGUGUAGUUUUUAGUUUGAUUUGUUCCCCCAUUGCUUUUUUCUACAGUUACUACAGAUUUUUAUACAGUUACUACAGUUAGUCCAAAGGUUCUUUUUUUAUUGUUGUGUGUGUGU